UAAGUUAUUUAUUGACUAAAAACUUUUUAGUAUAUUGUAAAUAUUUAUCUUUUUUAUUUCUUUCCUUGUUUACAAUAAAAUAGAUGACUCGAGUGUUACAAACAAUAGUUUUUAAGGAAUAAUGUGAAAUAAGUUAAUUUUUAUAGGGUAAAUAACUUAAUCAACAUGAUAACUUAAUAACAUUAGUCCUACCAUACACUAACUUAGAUGAUCCUGCAGCAAAGGCUGUAAUUUGACCUGAACCCAAAUUGGUCUCUAUUUUAAAUAUUGUCUUGAACCAAUAAGUUAAGAGGACUAACCUUUCUGGACGACAUUGCCAUCGACAUCACUGCAGAUGAGAGAGAAAGAGAGACCAGAGUUGUGGACCCUGGAGGCAAUUACAAUACUGCCGAUAAUGUUACUUGGUCUAACCAUAACUUAAGUGAGAACUGAAGCCUACCAGUAAAAUGGGGGCGUUGUAAUUAAUAUCCUCCGACAUUGGAGAAUACAGGGGAGAGGUGUCAGAGGAAGAGGAGAUGGAGGAUGGGGCGAAGUAAAGACUAAGAUUGAAGAGAACUAACUAAUGGUAAGUUUUGCCAUUUACUUAUAAAUCCAGGGCCGUGUCCAUUGCCCCCAAGCCUAUGUCGCAUAACCCUCCUGAAUUACUAGUAUUUAACCAGCAUUUUAACUCGAGAGGCGCUCAAAAAUUUGCUUUUGUUUUUUAGGAAAUGUAGGCUAUAUUUUUUGACACCAUAAUUAUAAUUGUUCUGAAUAUGUCAUAGUUUUUACAUUUGGUAAGUACUGAAACAACAAUAAUUUUAAGACAAAUGGAAAAGCCCCUGUCAACAGAAGCAGUUGAAACAAGUAUAAAAAAUUCUCAUACAUCAAUAAGGUAUUUAGUACAAGCGUGGUUCAAUAAGACCUUAGAAGAAUAUAGUAUAACACAAUUUUUGUGAUAAAUUUGAUUUAUUUUGCUAUAAUCUCCUUUUAUUUAGCUCUAUACACUUAUCUUAAAGUUUCUCCAACCUCGUUCAAAUUAUGUCCAAAUAAAUAGUACCCUACAAACUUGAAAAGCCUUCAAAAUACUCUUCUGUUUCAGUGAUGACCAGCUCCAUGGCAACUAAAAAUGUCUGCACGUAGGCCUUGAAGCGCCCCUAUCCCCACCACCUUCUGCCAGUCACUCGCCCGACAGGGCAGCAAAGAAAACUGUCAGAUAAUUUUGCCACACUCUGUACAUUAUAUUUUGUCCUAUACAAAAUGGGUUUAAUAUGGGUCGGCACUUAUAUAUUGAUCCAAACGAUUACUGCAAUUGUGGCAAAAUUAAACGAUAUUGUCCUCGGUAAUGACCAAAUCGUGAUUGCAGGGUCAUCAUCUUCAUCUCCCAAGGUCGCCAGUGUUUAAAAUUGUGGGCAUCCUCGGAGCAAUCGUGAACAUCUUUCGCGGUUGCGAGGCCUGAUUAUCGUCACCCGCGAUCGCUGGUAGUCGUAAAUUUCGAUCACGCAAUCUUUGCAGACGCUUUCGGCUAUCAUGAGAAUACAAGAAAAACUUGGCUUAUUGUACCCCUAAUUCUAACAGAUUGUGGGAAAAUUAAUUUUCCAAGAGAAAAAGCAUUCUUUUGAGGCCCCAAGUGAGUCCCCUUCCCA
Macrosteles quadrilineatus (aster leafhopper) is the source of this 1622-nucleotide long non-coding RNA. RefSeq lists it as uncharacterized. The transcript is spliced from 3 exons. Lineage: Eukaryota; Metazoa; Arthropoda; Insecta; Hemiptera; Cicadellidae. The record is from RefSeq and is a predicted model, not a curated record.